AUUGAACGCUGGCGGCAUGCCUUACACAUGCAAGUCGAACGGUAACGGGCCUUCGGGUGCCGACGAGUGGCGAACGGGUGAGUAAUACAUCGGAACGUGCCCGAUCGUGGGGGAUAACGAGGCGAAAGCUUUGCUAAUACCGCAUACGAUCUACGGAUGAAAGCAGGGGACCGCAAGGCCUUGCGCGGACGGAGCGGCCGAUGGCAGAUUAGGUAGUUGGUGGGAUAAAAGCUUACCAAGCCGACGAUCUGUAGCUGGUCUGAGAGGAUGAUCAGCCACACUCGGACUGAGACACGGCCCAGACUCCUACGGGAGGCAGCAGUGGGGAAUUUUGGACAAUGGGCGCAAGCCUGAUCCAGCCAUGCCGCGUGCAGGAUGAAGGCCUUCGGGUUGUAAACUGCUUUUGUACGGAACGAAAAGCCUUCUUUUAAUACAGGGGGGUCAUGACGGUACCGUAAGAAUAAGCACCGGCUAACUACGUG
RNAcentral lists this ribosomal RNA (482 nucleotides) under uncultured bacterium. Its description in RNAcentral is "partial 16S ribosomal RNA". It matches the Rfam family "Bacterial small subunit ribosomal RNA", at positions 30 to 507 of the family's 1533-position model. The record is from RNAcentral.